GCGAGGCUGAAAAGCGUAGUCGAUGGAAAACAGGUUAAUAUUCCUGUACUUCUGGUUAUUGCGAUGGAGGGACGGAGAAGGCUAGGCCAGCUUGGCGUUGGUUGUCCAAGUUUAAGGUGGUAGGCUGAGAUCUUAGGUAAAUCCGGGAUCUUAAGGCCGAGAGCUGAUGACGAGUGUUCUUUUAGAACACGAAGUGGUUGAUGCCAUGCUUCCAAGAAAAGCUUCUAAGCUUCAGGUAACCAGGAACCGUACCCCAAACCGACACAGGUGGUUGGGUA
This 278-nucleotide ribosomal RNA is filed under the name Pseudomonas sp. PDM24. Its description in RNAcentral is "partial 23S ribosomal RNA". It matches the Rfam family "Bacterial large subunit ribosomal RNA", at positions 1396 to 1673 of the family's 2925-position model. The record is from RNAcentral. Lineage: Bacteria; Pseudomonadati; Pseudomonadota; Gammaproteobacteria; Pseudomonadales; Pseudomonadaceae.